This 514-nucleotide ribosomal RNA is filed under the name uncultured fungus. RNAcentral's name for it is "eukaryotic LSU rRNA". The stretch from base 150 to 303 matches the Rfam family "5.8S ribosomal RNA". The record is from RNAcentral. Lineage: Eukaryota; Fungi.
CGCCCGGGCUUCGGCCUGGUUAUUCAUAACCCUUUGUUGUCCGACUCUGUUGCCUCCGGGGCGACCCUGCCUUCGGGCGGGGGCUCCGGGUGGACACUUCAAACUCUUGCGUAACUUUGCAGUCUGAGUAAACUUAAUUAAUAAAUUAAAACUUUUAACAACGGAUCUCUUGGUUCUGGCAUCGAUGAAGAACGCAGCGAAAUGCGAUAAGUAAUGUGAAUUGCAGAAUUCAGUGAAUCAUCGAAUCUUUGAACGCACAUUGCGCCCCCUGGUAUUCCGGGGGGCAUGCCUGUUCGAGCGUCAUUUCACCACUCAAGCCUCGCUUGGUAUUGGGCAACGCGGUCCGCCGCGUGCCUCAAAUCGUCCGGCUGGGUCUUCUGUCCCCUAAGCGUUGUGGAAACUAUUCGCUAAAGGGUGUUCGGGAGGCUACGCCGUAAAACAACCCCAUUUCUAAGGUUGACCUCGGAUCAGGUAGGGAUACCCGCUGAACUUAAGCAUAUCAAUAAGCGGAGGA